RNAcentral lists this ribosomal RNA (816 nucleotides) under uncultured bacterium. Its description in RNAcentral is "bacterial SSU rRNA". It matches the Rfam family "Bacterial small subunit ribosomal RNA", at positions 8 to 796 of the family's 1533-position model. The record is from RNAcentral.
AGAGUUUGAUCAUGGCUCAGAACGAACGCUGGCGGCGUGCCUAACACAUGCAAGUCGAACGAGAAAUUCCGACUUCGGUUGGAAGAGUAAAGUGGCGCACGGGUGAGUAACGCGUGGGUAACCUGCCCUUAAAUCUGGGAUAACUUCGCGAAAGCAUUGCUAAUACCGGAUAUUAUUCCUGAGACUGUGGUCUUGGGAAUGAAAGGUGACCUCUUCAUGAAAGUUGCUGUUUAAGGAGGGGCUCGCGUACCAUUAGCUUGUUGGUGGGGUAAUGGCCUACCAAGGCGACGAUGGUUAGCUGGUCUGAGAGGAUGGCCAGCCACACUGGAACUGAAACACGGUCCAGACUCCUACGGGAGGCAGCAGUGAGGAAUUUUGCGCAAUGGGGGAAACCCUGACGCAGCAACGCCGCGUGAGUGAAGAAGGCCCUCGGGUCGUAAAGCUCUGUCAAGUGGAAAAAAAGACUUAUGGUUAAUAGCCAUAAGUCCUGAUGGUACUACGAGAGGAAGCACCGGCUAACUCCGUGCCAGCAGCCGCGGUAAUACGGAGGGUGCAAGCGUUGUUCGGAUUUACUGGGCGUAAAAGAGCGUGUAGGCGGUUUGGUAAGUCGGAUGUGAAAUCCCUGGGCUUAACCCAGGAAGUGCAUUUGAUACUGCCGUUCUUGAGUAUGGGAGAGGAGAGUGGAAUUCCCAGUGUAGAGGUGAAAUUCGUAGAUAUUGGGAGGAACACCCGUGGCGAAGACGACUCUCUGGACCAAUACUGACGCUGAGACGCGAAAGCGUGGGGAGCAAACAGGAUUAGAUACCCUAGUAGUCC